This 1956-nucleotide non-coding RNA is filed under the name Dendrobium catenatum. Its description in RNAcentral is "bacterial SSU rRNA". It matches the Rfam family "Bacterial small subunit ribosomal RNA". The record is from RNAcentral. Lineage: Eukaryota; Viridiplantae; Streptophyta; Magnoliopsida; Asparagales; Orchidaceae.
UGAGUUUCAUCCUAGCUCAGAAGGAACGCUAGCUAUAUGCUUAACACAUGCAAGUCGAACGUUACAUUCGGGGAGCUGGGUAGAAAGAAAAGACGCUACUAGCUAAAGUGGUCUAACCCUGCUUCAAAACUACAGGGCGCUAGCUACGGCUUUGAUUUUCAGCCUACGUUUGCUAGAAUCGGAAGAGUUGAAAACAAAGUGGCGAACAGGUGCGUAACGCAUGGGAAUCUACCGAAUAGUUUAGGCCAAAUCUUGAAGAAAGCUCAAAAGCGCUAUUUGAUGAGCCUACAUAGUAUUAGGUAGUUGGUUAGGUAAAGGUUGACCAAGCCAAUGAUGCUUAGCUGGUCUUUUUAGAUGAUCAGCCACACUGGAACUGAUACACAGCCCGGACUCCCACAGGGGGUAGCAGUGGGGAAUCUUGGACAAUGGGCAAACGUCUAAUCCAGCAAUAUUGCAUGAGUGAAGAAGGGCAAUGCAGCCUGUAAAGCUCUUUCAUCAAGUGCACAAUCAUGAUAGGACUCGAGGAAGAAGCCCCAACUAACUCUGUGUCAGCAGCCAUGGUAAUACUCGAGGGUGCAAGUGUUCUUUGAAAUGAUUAGGUAUAAAGGGCACGUAGGUAGUGAAUCAUGUUUCAGGUUUAAGUCACCAAAAACUGGCGGAAUGCUCUCAAAACCAAUUCACUUGAGUGAGACAGAGGAGAGUGAAAUUUUAUGUGUAGGGUGAAAUCUAUAGAUCUACGGAGGAAUGCCAAAAGCGAAGGCAGUUCUCUAGGUCCCUACUAACGCUGGGGUGUGAAAGUAUGGGAAGCAAACAAGAUUAGAUACCCUGGUAGUCCAUGCCGUUAAUGAUGAGUGUUCUCCCUUGGUCUAUGUAGAUCGAGGGCCCAGCUAACGCGUGAAACACUCCGCUUGGGGAGUACGAUGGUAAGACUGAAACUAGAAGGAAUUGAUUGGGGCCUACAAGCGGUGUAACAUGUGGUUUAAUUCGAUACAAUGCACAAAACCUUACCAGUCCUUGAUAUAUGAACAACAAAACAUGUUCUUAAUGGGGUGGUACUGACUUUCAUAUAGGUACUGCAUGGCUAUUGUCAGCUCAUGUCAUGAGAGGUAAGGUCAAGUCCUACAAUGAGAGAAACCCUCAUUUUGUGUUGCUAAGACAAGCGUCCUAGGAGAAAUGACAACCGAAACUGAGCCGAGGAGCAGAGUUACAUGCCAGCGCUUCUACUUGACUUGAAUGCCAGCACGCAGCUGUGUUUUCAACAAGAAUUUCACCAUUGGUAGCCGGCGCCUUUCGAAGCGCUUUCAUGUGUGAAUCGAAGUUGUGUUGCAUUACUCGUUCCCCACGGAGACCUACCUAUAGUGACGUCAAAGUACCAGUGACCAUGGCGGUUUUGUUAUACUUGGUUAUGACGACAUCGAGUUGGUGGCGAAGGAAGACUCGGCAUUUAGGCGAGCCUCCUGGUGGUGUGGUACAUAGAGGUAAUAGUACGCGCCCCGCUCUGAAACAAAGAGAAAGGUGUGCGUCGCACUCAUGAGGGAGUGCCAGUGAGAUAUUGGAGAAAGGUGGGGAUGACAUCAAGUCUACAUGGCCCUUAUGGGCUGGGCCACACAUGUGCUACAAUGGCAAUGACAAUGGGAAGCAAGGCUGUAAGGCAGAGCAAAUCUGAAAAGAUUGCCUCAGCAUGGAUUAUUCUCUACAACUCAGGAACAUGAAAUUGGAAUUGCUAGUAAUCGCGGAUCAGCAUGCCACGGUGAAUAUGUACCCAGGCCCUAUACACACAGCCCAUCACACCCUGGAAAUAAGUUUCGCCCGAAGCAUCAGACUAAUGAUCACCCAUGACUACUAUGUACCACUAGUGCCAUAAAGGCUUUUGGUGGUCUUAUUGGUGCAUACCACGGUGGGGUCUUCGACUGGGGUGAAGUCCUAACAAGAUAGCCAUAUGGGAACCUGUGGCUG